ACACGCACUGGAGGUCCGAACCCACUAAUGUUGAAAAAUUAGGGGAUGAGCUGUGGAUAGGGGUGAAAGGCUAAACAAACUUGGAAAUAGCUGGUUCUCUCCGAAAACUAUUUAGGUAGUGCCUCAAGUAUCACCAACGGGGGUAAAGCACUGUUAUGGCUAGGGGGUCAUCGCGACUUACCAAACCAUUGCAAACUCAGAAUACCGUUGAGUGCGAGCUUGGGAGACAGACAUCGGGUGCUAACGUCCGGUGUCGAAAGGGAAACAACCCAGACCGCCGAUUAAGGUCCCCAAGCCAUAGUUAAGUGGGAAACGAGGUGGGAAGGCUUAGACAGCCAGGAGGUUGGCUUAGAAGCAGUCAUCCUUUAAAGAAAGCGUAAUAGCUCACUGGUCGAGUCGUCCUGCGCGGAAGAUGUAACGGGGCUCAAACUAUGCACCGAAAUCGCGGAUAUCCGUAAGGAUAUGGUAGGAGAGCGUUCUGUAAGCCGAUGAAGGUGUCUUGAGAAGGAUGCUGGAGGUAUCAGAAGUGCGAAUGCUGACAUGAGUAGCGAUAAAGGGAGUGAAAAGCUCCCUCGCCGAAAGCCCAAGGUUUCCUGCGCAACGUUCAUCGGCGCAGGGUGAGUCGGCCCCUAAGGCGAGGCUGAAAAGCGUAGUCGAUGGGAAACAGGUCAAUAUUCCUGUACCUCUUUGUAAUGCGAUGGGGGGACGGAGAAGGUUAGGUCAGCCGGGUGUUGGACGUCCCGGCUCAAGCGUGUAGGCAGACCUCUUAGGCAAAUCCGGGGGGUCAAUGCUGAGGCGUGAUAACGAGUGGUCUUGUACCGCGAAGUGAUUGAUACC
Molecule: ribosomal RNA, 837 nt
Filed under: Candidatus Accumulibacter phosphatis
Lineage: Bacteria; Pseudomonadati; Pseudomonadota; Betaproteobacteria
Description: bacterial LSU rRNA
Rfam family: Bacterial large subunit ribosomal RNA
Source: RNAcentral